AGUUUGUAAUGCAUUUAAAUGUCUCUGCGUUUGCUGAGAUAAAGCAGACAUUCUAAAUUGGGUAAACAAGAAAAAUAUGAAUUGUCAGUGAAUCAAGUUGGAGACAUUUCAAGCAAAUCACUGAGAGAAUCAAUAUUAUGUCAAGGUUUAUUCCAUAUCUUCAUUAAUGAUCCAGAAAUAUAGCGAGCGUCAGAGAAGACUGACAUAGAAAACAAAGGCAAUAGGAAGGUGGAACAGGCUGCCAUCAAGGGACUGCUGUGACUAUAAGAAAAUAAAGAGUAGUUAUAGCCACAACUGGAAAAGAGCUAACCGUUAGCGCUCAGAAUAACAUUACUAACAGUACCUGCACUUGGAGUAGAAAUGGCUGAGUCAUCCUUGAUGUAGGUCAGAGCAGGAUAUAGUUUCUUCUAAAUCUGAAAUUGCUUGAGGAAGACAGUUGUUGACCCUGGCCUGCUGCAACAUCAGAAAGAGGGGUACGUAGCUAUGAUUAACAUUGAAAACAUAAAAGUUGUUGCCAGUUUUUCUGAUGGAGAUCUUCCCUGUGGAGCAGAAGAUGCUGGAGCACUUCAUUUACUUGAGGAGAACUGCUGUGCCUGGAAACCCAAACAACGAGGCUGUGCCGCAGAAACUAUUGAGUCUCAGAUUCUUUCUGCUUAAGCUCUGAUGAUAUUGAUGGCUUCUGACUCAAAGAGAACUAAAACAAAAGCCUUUUCAUAUGUUGGAUUUGGUCACAAAGGAGGUGAAGGGUGUUUCCUUUCACGCUGCUGCUGCAGCCAGCAAAGAGGUACCAUACAGCCCUGCUGUGUUUCCCUAGUCAGGUGAGACUCUCCUGGCACCAGAACACUUGGUGAGCUCCGGCAAAGCUGGUGCACUGCAGUGAGACAAAACACCAGGCUACAGUGGCUACCGCUAACGUGACUCAAAACGACGUUGCUGGCUCAGACUGCUGUAAACCCCCGAAGUUCACGGCUGUAUUUUCAGCUUGAAGCUACUUCCAGCCCUAAAUUCAAGAACAUUAAGUCACCAGCUGCUGUGACAGCCCUGAGCCAUCCACUGAACUUCUUCAGCCUCUUCUUGGGAUGCAGCGAUUAGCACCUGGCAGCUUGGACAACUAUUGCAAGGCAAGAUGAAGAGCCAUAGGGCUGAACCAACUUCUAUAUGGAAGAAACUUAAGAUCUCACAAAAAAAAACAAGAGCUCUGUAUCACAGAUAAAGAGAACUGAGUGAUCCCUCAACAUUCCAGAAAAUGUUACCUGCCAGAAGAAUCGUAGAGACUGAUUUACCAGGAAAAAUGGAAAGAGGAAUGAUUCUGAGACUCAAGAAAAGAUAAAGAGAUACGUAUAAAGGCAAGAGGCUGAGGAAUGGCAGCCACCCUAAAGGAGGAUGAGGAAAAACUGGACUGGGGUGAAGAGCAACUGUUCUGCAGCUCGAGGAAGACCCUGGAGUGGGGCCUGUUAACCCAUGGUUAUACCAAGAGACAGAGUGGUGGAUUUCCAGCACUGCAGACAUCAAAGACAGGACAGGUGCUACAGUGUUGUUGGGGCUCAUCAGGUGCAAGUUGUUGUCAUAUACUACUGCCCUAAUCAAGGGAGCUCUGAUUCAGCAGAUGAAAAGGAAAACACAAACAGCAGGCCUGGAAGAACUGACCAUUGAAAAGCUCCAGGCUGUUUGCGCAGAUACAUGGGACCCCACAAGUCCAAACACCAUAAGUAACAUCUGGAUAGAUAUGCUGCAGCUCACCCAUGAGGAGGUCAGGUGUGGAGAAAUGAGUGGAUCUGAGGGGAAUCACCUGAAGUCCCUCCUGUAUUAUCGCUUUGAAAAAGGACUAUGAGAGCUGAAUGCAGCAUUCCAGCUGAGGAAGUCUGUAUCCAUUCUACUGCAUACGGAGAGGGUAGUUCCACUGAAUCAUUCAUAAAUAGCUCUGUACCUUUUCCUCAUUAAUUAAAUUAAUUUAAAACCUAAGACUGUGGAACAAUAGUAGAAUUAUUUCACAUGUUGAGUUUAUAAGGAUAUUUCUUCUAAACAAUAAAAGCAUUUGAAAAUAUAGCUCAAACUGUUUUAGAAUUUUAUCAUUAGCAUCUUAACAUAUUUUCCUGUUCUUUCAGAUUGCUCCUCGCAAUAUGCGUUCUUUGGCUAUCAUCUCUUAUCUGUUCAUCUAACCCCACUGGGUUUCUGAAAUGCUACACAUUUUUCUUUGAUUUUGUCUAGCUGACAGAAUUCUGUAUUACUUGCAAAAUCUAUCACCUCACCAUUUGUGUACUUUUACCAAAUGAUUGAUUAAUUCAUUAGGCAAGUUCACCUCCAGUAUGCCCCAACAGGACUUCUGCAGUGCUGAAAAAUGUCCAUUAGCCAUCAGUGCUUUGUUUCCAAUCUCUCAGUGAAUUUCCCAUCCAGGACAGUCAUUUACCUCUGCCCCUAUGAGUAUCUGGUUUCCAGAAUAGGAUCUUAUGGGAGACUUUUUGAGUCAGUAAUUAUAGCUGGUAGGUCUUCUUCCUCCAUGGUCCUGUGAUGGUUCAGAAACAAUUAUCUGAGACUACAAAGGUAAGGUUUUUAACUACAGCAAUAGGGAUGGUUAGUCUUUGUAUGUCAGUGUUA
Molecule: non-coding RNA, 2595 nt
Organism: Struthio camelus australis
Lineage: Eukaryota; Metazoa; Chordata; Aves; Struthioniformes; Struthionidae
Source: RefSeq, a predicted model, not a curated record